ACUUACUUUUGACAUUACUCGGUGUAUGAAGUGCAGAAAUUGCACUCCUUAUAAAUGACACUCAGUUUUUGGUGAAGUGAAGAAAAGUUCCUGCCUGAAACAACUACACACACAAAAGGAGGAGGGAAUUUAUUAUGGGAACUUGGAAUACUUCCAUCAUAAUCAGAAUAGGGAUUCCCACCUCUUCUGUUAAAACGUAAUUACCUCACCACAGACAAUAUGCCUCAUUUUUGUCUAGCUUGCUAUCUAUGCCUUUUUAAAUUUUAAUAAAAUAAAAACCUAAGUAGGUUAUUUUUAUUAGCUUGCUUUUUUUUUUUUUUUUGCUUUAUUUAUUCAAACUCUGAGCAUGUUAUUUUUAUUACCUUGUGGAUGCUUUUUGCUUUAUUUACUAUGGAUUUUAAAUUUUCUUUUCAAGCAUUAAGGUGCAUCACAGUACAGAAGCAGGCCUUGUUAUAAGCAUGCACAAGUUUAUUGACAGUUCAGGAUCAGUGCUGUUCUCGUCUUGAUUCGGCAGAGUGGGUACCUUUUAUUGUAUUUAUGAUAUUAUAAAAAAUAGUAUUUUCUCAGCUUAUUAUGAAACCCACUCAAUAGCUUAGAGACAAGAAAGGAGCUCAGCCUAAAUGUUCCUGAACACUCUGAGCCUCUGCCCCCAGUAUAUUGUGGGAUACUUAUUUGUGUCUCUGCUCUGAUCAAUUUGUGUGACCUCACAAUAGUAAGGUGAGCAAUCUCUAAGGUGAGGGAUUUCUGGUAAUACCAAGGAGCUUCAGAGACUUGAGGAAAAAACAAAAACAAAAUUGUAUCUGAGAUAGUGUUGUUCCCAUAAAAAAUGCCACAGUCAUCUGAUAACAGAUAUUUUCUUUUUUCUUCACUUUAGGCUGCAUGGUGCACAGAAACAAAUGAAGUUCUUCUCCAUGAAAAUUAGACCCAAAUACCUGUAGCCUUUUACAAAAAUUACCCUGCUACAAGCCUUCCCCAACUACUUACAUUUGGAGUUGUGCAAUGUCCUCUCCUCAGAAGGAAAUCAUCCAAUUAGACUAACAGCUGCAGAGAUUGUAACAAGCCUUGCAUAUUGGAAAAUUAAAGAAAAUGCAGCUGAGUAUGGAAAGGAGUAUGGAAAGAAGCUAAGUUAG
Molecule: long non-coding RNA, 1130 nt
Filed under: Cyanistes caeruleus (blue tit)
Lineage: Eukaryota; Metazoa; Chordata; Aves; Passeriformes; Paridae
Description: lncRNA (ENSCCEG00000023905.1)
Source: RNAcentral